This is a non-coding RNA of Octopus bimaculoides (California two-spot octopus), 73 nucleotides long. Lineage: Eukaryota; Metazoa; Mollusca; Cephalopoda; Octopoda; Octopodidae. The record is from Rfam.
ACCCGGCUAGCUCAGCCGGUAAAGUGUGAGACUAUUAAUCUCGAGGUUGUGGGUUCGAUCCCAACGUCGGGUG